RNAcentral lists this ribosomal RNA (466 nucleotides) under uncultured bacterium. RNAcentral's name for it is "partial 16S ribosomal RNA". It matches the Rfam family "Bacterial small subunit ribosomal RNA", at positions 28 to 507 of the family's 1533-position model. The record is from RNAcentral.
GAUGAACGCUGGCGGCGUGCUUAACACAUGCAAGUCGAACGGAAAGGCCCAAGCUUGCUUGGGUACUCGAGUGGCGAACGGGUGAGUAACACGUGGGUGAUCUGCCCUGCACUUCGGGAUAAGCCUGGGAAACUGGGUCUAAUACCGGAUAGGACCACAUUUUGGAUGGUGUGGUGGAAAGUUUUUCGGUGUGGGAUGAGCUCGCGGCCUAUCAGCUUGUUGGUGGGGUAAUGGCCUACCAAGGCGUCGACGGGUAGCCGGCCUGAGAGGGUGUACGGCCACAGUGGGACUGAGAUACGGCCCAGACUCCUACGGGAGGCAGCAGUGGGGAAUAUUGCACAAUGGGCGCAAGCCUGAUGCAGCGACGCCGCGUGGGGGAUGACGGCCUUCGGGUUGUAAACUCCUUUCGCCAGGGACGAAGCGUUAUGUGACGGUACCUGGAGAAGAAGCACCGGCUAACUACGUG